CGGGAGGCAGCAGUAGGGAAUCUUCCGCAAUGGGCGAAAGCCUGACGGAGCAACGCCGCGUGAGUGAUGAAGGUCUUCGGAUCGUAAAACUCUGUUAUUAGGGAAGAACAAAUGUGUAAGUAGCUAUGCACGUCUUGACGGUACCUAAUCAGAAAGCCACGGCUAACUACGUGCCAGCAGCCGCGGUAAUACGUAGGUGGCAAGCGUUAUCCGGAAUUAUUGGGCGUAAAGCGCGCGUAGGCGGUUUUUUAAGUCUGAUGUGAAAGCCCACGGCUCAACCGUGGAGGGUCAUUGGAAACUGGAAAACUUGAGUGCAGAAGAGGAAAGUGGAAUUCCAUGUGUAGCGGUGAAAUGCGCAGAGAUAUGGAGGAACACCAGUGGCGAAGGCGACUUUCUGGUCUGUAACUGACGCUGAUGUGCGAAAGCGUGGGGAUCAAACAGGAUUAGAUACCCUGGUAGUCCACGCCGUAAACGAUGAGUGCUAAGUGUUAGGGGGUUUCCGCCCCUUAGUGCUGCAGCUAACGCAUUAAGCACUCCGCCUGGGGAG
This 547-nucleotide ribosomal RNA is filed under the name Staphylococcus epidermidis. RNAcentral's name for it is "bacterial SSU rRNA". It matches the Rfam family "Bacterial small subunit ribosomal RNA", at positions 342 to 880 of the family's 1533-position model. Lineage: Bacteria; Bacillati; Bacillota; Bacilli; Caryophanales; Staphylococcaceae. The record is from RNAcentral.